Molecule: ribosomal RNA, 505 nt
Filed under: Porphyromonas sp.
Lineage: Bacteria; Pseudomonadati; Bacteroidota; Bacteroidia; Bacteroidales; Porphyromonadaceae
Description: partial 23S ribosomal RNA
Rfam family: Bacterial large subunit ribosomal RNA
Source: RNAcentral
AAGCUGGAUUAGAAGUGUUUGGAAAGACACACCAUAGAGAGUGAAAGUCUCGUAUAGGUACAGUUUUAUAAAUCUUAUGGGUAUCCUGAGUAGGUCGGGGCACGUGGAACCUUGACUGAAUCCGCCGGGACCAUCCGGUAAGGCUAAAUACUCCUGAGAGACCGAUAGUGAACUAGUACCGUGAGGGAAAGGUGAAAAGAACCGUGAAUAACGGAGUGAAAUAGACCCUGAAACCAUACGCCUACAAGCGGUUGGAGCAGCUACGGCUGUGACAGCGUGCCUUUUGCAUAAUGAGCCUACGAGUUACUGUUACCAGCGAGGAUAAGUAUUUCAGAUACGAAUCCGCAGCGAAAGCGAGUCUGAAUAGGGCGGCUAAUAGUUGGUAGUAGUAGACGCGAAACCUGGUGAUCUACCCUUGGGCAGGUUGAAGCGCUGGUAACACAGCGUGGAGGACCGAACUGGUUGUCGUUGAAAAGACUUCGGAUGACCUGAGGGUAGGGGUGAA